This 2643-nucleotide ribosomal RNA is filed under the name Enterobacter cloacae. RNAcentral describes it as "bacterial LSU rRNA". It matches the Rfam family "Bacterial large subunit ribosomal RNA". Lineage: Bacteria; Pseudomonadati; Pseudomonadota; Gammaproteobacteria; Enterobacterales; Enterobacteriaceae. The record is from RNAcentral.
ACUAUCGUUAACUGAAUACAUAGGUUAACGAGGCGAACCGGGGGAACUGAAACAUCUAAGUACCCCGAGGAAAAGAAAUCAACCGAGAUUCCCCCAGUAGCGGCGAGCGAACGGGGAGCAGCCCGGAGUCUGAAUCAGCUUGUGUGUUAGUGGAACGGUCUGGAAAGUCCGACGGUACAGGGUGAUAGUCCCGUACACGAAAGCACACUUGCUGUGAACUCGAAGAGUAGGGCGGGACACGUGGUAUCCUGUCUGAAUAUGGGGGGACCAUCCUCCAAGGCUAAAUACUCCUGACUGACCGAUAGUGAACCAGUACCGUGAGGGAAAGGCGAAAAGAACCCCGGCGAGGGGAGUGAAAAAGAACCUGAAACCGUGUACGUACAAGCAGUGGGAGCACCUUCGUGGUGUGACUGCGUACCUUUUGUAUAAUGGGUCAGCGACUUAUAUUCUGUAGCAAGGUUAACCGUAUAGGGGAGCCGAAGGGAAACCGAGUCUUAACUGGGCGUUAAGUUGCAGGGUAUAGACCCGAAACCCGGUGAUCUAGCCAUGGGCAGGUUGAAGGUUGGGUAACACUAACUGGAGGACCGAACCGACUAAUGUUGAAAAAUUAGCGGAUGACCUGUGGCUGGGGGUGAAAGGCCAAUCAAACCGGGAGAUAGCUGGUUCUCCCCGAAAGCUAUUUAGGUAGCGCCUCGUGAACUCAUCUUCGGGGGUAGAGCACUGUUUCGGCUAGGGGGCCAUCCCGGCUUACCAACCCGAUGCAAACUACGAAUACCGAAGAAUGUUAUCACGGGAGACACACGGCGGGUGCUAACGUCCGUCGUGAAGAGGGAAACAACCCAGACCGCCAGCUAAGGUCCCAAAGUCAUGGUUAAGUGGGAAACGAUGUGGGAAGGCACAGACAGCCAGGAUGUUGGCUUAGAAGCAGCCAUCAUUUAAAGAAAGCGUAAUAGCUCACUGGUCGAGUCGGCCUGCGCGGAAGAUGUAACGGGGCUAAACCAUGCACCGAAGCUGCGGCAGCGACACUAUGUGUUGUUGGGUAGGGGAGCGUUCUGUAAGCCGUUGAAGGUGUGCUGUGAGGCAUGCUGGAGGUAUCAGAAGUGCGAAUGCUGACAUAAGUAACGAUAAAGCGGGUGAAAAGCCCGCUCGCCGGAAGACCAAGGGUUCCUGUCCAACGUUAAUCGGGGCAGGGUGAGUCGACCCCUAAGGCGAGGCCGAAAGGCGUAGUCGAUGGGAAACAGGUUAAUAUUCCUGUACUUGGUGUUACUGCGAAGGGGGGACGGAGAAGGCUAUGUCAGCCGGGCGACGGUUGUCCCGGUUUAAGCAUGUAGGCGGAGGUUCCAGGUAAAUCCGGUACCUUAUUAACGCUGAGGUGUGAUGACGAGGCACUACGGUGCUGAAGUGAUAAAUGCCCUGCUUCCAGGAAAAGCCUCUAAGCAUCAGGUAACACGAAAUCGUACCCCAAACCGACACAGGUGGUCAGGUAGAGAAUACCAAGGCGCUUGAGAGAACUCGGGUGAAGGAACUAGGCAAAAUGGUGCCGUAACUUCGGGAGAAGGCACGCUGAUGUGUAGGUGAAGCCCCUGCGGGCGGAGCUGAAAUCAGUCGAAGAUACCAGCUGGCUGCAACUGUUUAUUAAAAACACAGCACUGUGCAAACACGAAAGUGGACGUAUACGGUGUGACGCCUGCCCGGUGCCGGAAGGUUAAUUGAUGGGGUUAGCUGUAAGGCGAAGCUCUUGAUCGAAGCCCCGGUAAACGGCGGCCGUAACUAUAACGGUCCUAAGGUAGCGAAAUUCCUUGUCGGGUAAGUUCCGACCUGCACGAAUGGCGUAAUGAUGGCCAGGCUGUCUCCACCCGAGACUCAGUGAAAUUGAACUCGCUGUGAAGAUGCAGUGUACCCGCGGCAAGACGGAAAGACCCCGUGAACCUUUACUAUAGCUUGACACUGAACACUGGUCCUUGAUGUGUAGGAUAGGUGGGAGGCUUUGAAGCGUGGACGCCAGUCUGCGUGGAGCCGCCCUUGAAAUACCACCCUUUAAUGGCUGGUGUUCUAACGUAGACCCGUAAUCCGGGUUGCGGACAGUGUCUGGUGGGUAGUUUGACUGGGGCGGUCUCCUCCCAAAGAGUAACGGAGGAGCACGAAGGUUGGCUAAUCCUGGUCGGACAUCAGGAGGUUAGUGCAAUGGCAUAAGCCAGCUUGACUGCGAGCGUGACGGCGCGAGCAGGUGCGAAAGCAGGUCAUAGUGAUCCGGUGGUUCUGAAUGGAAGGGCCAUCGCUCAACGGAUAAAAGGUACUCCGGGGAUAACAGGCUGAUACCGCCCAAGAGUUCAUAUCGACGGCGGUGUUUGGCACCUCGAUGUCGGCUCAUCACAUCCUGGGGCUGAAGUAGGUCCCAAGGGUAUGGCUGUUCGCCAUUUAAAGUGGUACGCGAGCUGGGUUUAGAACGUCGUGAGACAGUUCGGUCCCUAUCUGCCGUGGGCGCUGGAGAAUUGAGGGGGGCUGCUCCUAGUACGAGAGGACCGGAGUGGACGCAUCACUGGUGUUCGGGUUGUCAUGCCAAUGGCACUGCCCGGUAGCUAAAUGCGGAAGAGAUAAGUGCUGAAAGCAUCUAAGCACGAAACUUGCCCCGAGAUGAGUUCU